Long non-coding RNA from Equus quagga, 2413 nucleotides. RefSeq lists it as uncharacterized. The record is from RefSeq and is a predicted model, not a curated record. NCBI's taxonomy places the organism in Eukaryota, Metazoa, Chordata, Mammalia, Perissodactyla, Equidae. The transcript has 2 exons.
AUAGGGAACCUAGGUACAGGAUAUAUUGAUAAUAUAGAACUGUCCAUACUAUUUUCACAAUUUUUCUAUAAAUUACAAUUGCCUAAAAUAAGGUUUAUUUAAAAACUUAAUUCUACUUAUAAUAUUUUAGUAAUUCCAUAUCUGAACUCUUUGGAGCUAUUGUCUGCUGUUUGUUAUUCUCUCAUAUGUUUUAGUUUUUUACUGUGAACUCAUGUUCAACCGGAUUUCUUUUUUUCUUGAGAACCUUGUGAAAAGUGAGUUAUCUUGGCAUGUAUGCAAACAAUUUCCUCUUGCUUUUGCCAGGCUGAUGCCAUGUGGAACGUCUUUAUUUCCUCAACUGGAAGUUUCCCAGACAACACUGUUUACAUCUAGCAUUUACACACACUGUGGAAAGGUUUCUUCUUCUGAGGCUGCAUGACAGUUCCAGAGAGCAGCACCUUUGAAGGUGGCAUGGAGAGCAUGGACAGCUGCACCGUUCUCCUCUGUCCUGCCACGCCUGGAGUUCGAGUCAGGGACCUCAGGUCAUCAUCAUGUAAUAAUAUUGAUAGUUGCCUGUGUGAUGGAGAUGUUAGCUAAUGCUAGGGCAGUAAUUAUAUUGCCAUGUAGAAAUGAUCAAAUCAACACUUUGCACUCCUUAAACUUACAUAAUGUUAUAUGUCAAUUAGAGCUCAAUUAAAGAAAAACAGAAGGGCUGGCCCCACGGUGUAGUGGUUAAGUCUGGUGCACUCCACUUUGGAGGCCCUGGUUUGUGGAUUCAGAUCCCUGGUGCAAACCUAUGCCCCUCAUCAAUCUAUGCUGUGGUUGUGACCUACAUCCAAAAUAGAGGAAGAUUGGCACAGAUGUUAGCUCAGGGCUAAUCCUCCUCAAGCCAAAAAAAAAAAAAGGGAAAGAUUGGCAACAGAUGUUAGCUCAGAGCAAAGCUUUCUCAUCAAAAGAAAAAAAAAAGUUUCCUGGCUAAGAGAAAUUCAUACAAAAAUUUGAUGUCUGAAACCUUUAGGAAAACUAUUUGAACAAUCUAUUACAAAAUGAAUUACUGACAAUUUCAAUUCACCAAAAUCAGUGCAAGGCAUAUGCUUCAAAUUCAAACACACUUUAGUGUCCUUCAGCUGUCCGAAAAUGGCCACUCCAAAUGAUUGUUUUGUGUAUAAUUCCAGUUUUAUUACCUAGACAUAUUAAAGAGUUUACAGAUUUACAUAUUGAAGCUUCAGCCUCAGGCUGCAGUGACUUACUGCCAUGUCAUGGCUCAUAUCCUUUCUUUAAUACUGUGUUUCCUAGAGAUACAACUGAUCAAGUCACAAACUGUAUGUCACUGCUGUCACUAUUCAAAGGACUCAGAAUCCCAGGGUCAGAUUUGUUCUUCAAGGACUUUUGCCAGAAGUAGAGAUGCACGCCAUCAUUAAUCACUUUUCUUUUUUAUAGGUUCUUUCUAUUAUAAUUUUGCAACAUAAUUUUUGACCCAUAGUUUGAUUAUCUACUUCUCAUUUAGCAGAAACUAAAAGUUAGUGGGAGAGGAACUUCAGAGUCUAAAUGUUGGAAAAAAUGCAGAAUAAGAUUUUUUAAAAAUUAGAUUACACACACACCCAUUUUUAUCAAUGACAUACAGCUUUCUUAAACUAUACUUGAAUUAUCAUUUGAUUUGUCAUUCUUUUGGUCUGGGAAGCAGGGUGAUAAUGUUGUUUUGUGUGUGUGUGAGUGUGUGUGUGUGUUACAGGUGUGGUGAGUAUAGAAGGAAAAAGAAAAUUCUUAAGAAAUCAAGAAUACAGGACAGAAUCAACCCUGAGGAUGAAUAUUCAAGAAAAAUUUUAAGUUUAUAAAUACAAGAUUAAAAACAACCAAGAGAAAAACAAAGAUAUCCUAAUACUGAAAACUUGUUUUGAAGUAGUGGCACUUGGAAGGCAGUGCCACGUUCACAGAAAGGGAUUGAAGCGCAAGAAGAAAAGCUACUAUGCACAGAGAAGUGGAUUUAUUGGAGAAGAUUCCGCCUUUAUCCAUCUAACAAAAAUCUAUUUAUAACAAUCAGGUGACCCCACUCUCCAUGACCUCCAUCUCUGAGACGCUCAGCUGAUUGAACUUCAAGCCGGGAGUGACGGCAGAAGAACCAAGUCACGGUUGGGGCAAAAGUGGUCCGAUUAUUUUCGAUCAGGAAUCUGAACAGGGAUUAGGUAUUGCUCUUAGAAUCUGUGACUAGAGGAGCUACUUUCUGCCAUACUGUAGACUUAAGAAGAGAAAGUAGGUCAACAGAGGAAAAAAACAUGAAAAUAGAGCAGACAGUAGCAGAGAAAAGAAGAAAACAAAUGCGCCCCAUAAAAGUUGAGGGGAGUCCCUUGUUCCAGCUGGAUUCUGCAUUUCCUACAAUUGUUUUCUGUGACAAUCCCUAAUAUUUUCAGAAUAAAGGACUGUGUAAUAAAAUACA